This 1434-nucleotide ribosomal RNA is filed under the name Staphylococcus sp. MIS6. RNAcentral's name for it is "bacterial SSU rRNA". It matches the Rfam family "Bacterial small subunit ribosomal RNA". Lineage: Bacteria; Bacillati; Bacillota; Bacilli; Caryophanales; Staphylococcaceae. The record is from RNAcentral.
UGCAAGUCGAGCGAACAGAUGAGAAGCUUGCUUCUCUGAUGUUAGCGGCGGACGGGUGAGUAACACGUGGGUAACCUACCUAUAAGACUGGGAUAACUCCGGGAAACCGGGGCUAAUACCGGAUAAUAUUUUGAACCGCAUGGUUCAAUAGUGAAAGACGGUUUCGGCUGUCACUUAUAGAUGGACCCGCGCCGUAUUAGCUAGUUGGUAAGGUAACGGCUUACCAAGGCGACGAUACGUAGCCGACCUGAGAGGGUGAUCGGCCACACUGGAACUGAGACACGGUCCAGACUCCUACGGGAGGCAGCAGUAGGGAAUCUUCCGCAAUGGGCGAAAGCCUGACGGAGCAACGCCGCGUGAGUGAUGAAGGUCUUCGGAUCGUAAAACUCUGUUGUUAGGGAAGAACAAAUUUGUUAGUAACUGAACAAGUCUUGACGGUACCUAACCAGAAAGCCACGGCUAACUACGUGCCAGCAGCCGCGGUAAUACGUAGGUGGCAAGCGUUAUCCGGAAUUAUUGGGCGUAAAGCGCGCGUAGGCGGUUUCUUAAGUCUGAUGUGAAAGCCCACGGCUCAACCGUGGAGGGUCAUUGGAAACUGGGAAACUUGAGUGCAGAAGAGGAGAGUGGAAUUCCAUGUGUAGCGGUGAAAUGCGCAGAGAUAUGGAGGAACACCAGUGGCGAAGGCGGCUCUCUGGUCUGUAACUGACGCUGAUGUGCGAAAGCGUGGGGAUCAAACAGGAUUAGAUACCCUGGUAGUCCACGCCGUAAACGAUGAGUGCUAAGUGUUAGGGGGUUUCCGCCCCUUAGUGCUGCAGCUAACGCAUUAAGCACUCCGCCUGGGGAGUACGACCGCAAGGUUGAAACUCAAAGGAAUUGACGGGGACCCGCACAAGCGGUGGAGCAUGUGGUUUAAUUCGAAGCAACGCGAAGAACCUUACCAAAUCUUGACAUCCUUUGACCGCUCUAGAGAUAGAGUCUUCCCCUUCGGGGGACAAAGUGACAGGUGGUGCAUGGUUGUCGUCAGCUCGUGUCGUGAGAUGUUGGGUUAAGUCCCGCAACGAGCGCAACCCUUAAGCUUAGUUGCCAUCAUUAAGUUGGGCACUCUAGGUUGACUGCCGGUGACAAACCGGAGGAAGGUGGGGAUGACGUCAAAUCAUCAUGCCCCUUAUGAUUUGGGCUACACACGUGCUACAAUGGAUAAUACAAAGGGCAGCGAAUCCGCGAGGCCAAGCAAAUCCCAUAAAAUUAUUCUCAGUUCGGAUUGUAGUCUGCAACUCGACUACAUGAAGCUGGAAUCGCUAGUAAUCGUAGAUCAGCAUGCUACGGUGAAUACGUUCCCGGGUCUUGUACACACCGCCCGUCACACCACGAGAGUUUGUAACACCCGAAGCCGGUGGAGUAACCUUUUAGGAGCUAGCCGUCGAAGGUGGGACA